UGUGGAAAUCAGAAUCUGUGCGUUUCCUUUCGCUUAGAAUAAGCCAUUUAUAUCUACAUUAGGGUGCGGGUCGACUUCCGCUAGGGCUGCCAUGUUGUGCUGCCAUGUUUCUACAGUAGCCCAGAACGGACAAACCAGACAGGACCUCUGGAGAGCGCCUUUCGCGUUUGUGCAAAUGCACAGGUAGAUCGGAAGUCGGCUAACGAAGCCGGGUAUAUAUUGUGUGCCGCACGCAGGCUUGCCAUUUCGUCUUUCGAGGACUGGAAGAGAGUGUUUUGAGAGUUGAGUGUGAGAACUUUGAUAAAUGGAGGAUCACACGUAUUAUUCAGCACAAGAAAGAGCGAGGAAGGGCGAACCUUCCCCUUCAAAGAAGCGAAAACGCGAAGAAGCCAAACGACUUCGAGACAGACGAAGACAGAAAACACGAGUAAACAUCGGCGUGGCCUUUCAUCGGUGGAAAUCACUAAUGAGGGACAAACAUUUCAACAGUGACGCCGGAGUCGCCUGCUUUCUGCUUCACAGCUAUGAGCGAGGUCCCGCAACAUCGACCCCUAUGAAGGGAAAAACCCCUCAAGGCGCAGCUCCAGCAUUGUCCAGCAUAGGUACUUCAAGUGGGACAGACAGGCAAGUAAUUUCAGUGAAUUAACUGUGCCGUCCUAAUAUGUUUGAUUAUAAGUAAAGUAGCUUAUUUAUAAGUUUUUCUUUCUAAAUUCAUGUUUCCUCUCCGUAUGUGUGAUAUAUGGAUCAUCAUCACAGUCUUGACAUGUGGCAUGGUGCCAAAAACCUGGCCAAAAAAAUUGCUGCAGCAGCAAAGAUAAAAGGACAGUCCCUUCUCCUCAACUGGCUAAAAGACAUCAUAAACCAUUUUUGGUGGUGCUGUAAGACAGCUGACACAACCGAGGAGUUUCUUACACUGUGGACUGGUAUCCUUCAUCAUGUUUGUAACCAUCACACCUGGGAAUAUGGAAGCUGCCAACAUGACCACCUGGAAGACACUCGUGAAAAGGAGUGGAUCAAGAGGGACUCGAAGUGCCACAAUGCGCUGGUGGACAUUGUUUACAAAAUGAGACAUAAUAAGCUCUUGAAAUGUUUUGUCUGUUUGACACUAAAUGCUGCAUUUUUAUGAUUGUGUGCCAGCAGAUCUAUUGCUAUUGUCUACAUAAAAAUGUGUGGCCUACAAUUUCUUUAUAAAUAAGUCUUUCAUUUUACAAAUGUCAGUAUUUACAGUUUUUUACACAUUUUUGGUAUCAAAAUUGUAAGGUACACUUGUCCCUUGUAAUGAACAGUACAUGCAUACAUUGUGUGUGGCAAUAUGUCACAGUGACAAAUGAUAGUAAUUAAAAGGUAA
Molecule: long non-coding RNA, 1348 nt
Organism: Myripristis murdjan (pinecone soldierfish)
Lineage: Eukaryota; Metazoa; Chordata; Actinopteri; Holocentriformes; Holocentridae
Exons: 4
Source: RefSeq, a predicted model, not a curated record